Molecule: ribosomal RNA, 253 nt
Filed under: uncultured bacterium
Lineage: Bacteria
Description: partial 16S ribosomal RNA
Rfam family: Bacterial small subunit ribosomal RNA
Source: RNAcentral
UACGAAGGGGGCUAGCGUUGUUCGGAAUUACUGGGCGUAAAGGGCGCGCAGGCGGCCCUCCAAGUCAGGCGUGAAAGCCCCGGGCUCAACCCGGGAACAGCGCUUGAGACUGGGGGGCUUGAGUUCGGGAGAGGAGAGUGGAAUUCCCAGUGUAGAGGUGAAAUUCGUAGAUAUUCGCAAGAACACCAGUGGCGAAGGCGGCUCACUGGCCCGGUACUGACGCUGAGGUGCGAAAGCGUGGGGAGCAAACAGG